Molecule: non-coding RNA, 282 nt
Organism: Odocoileus virginianus texanus
Lineage: Eukaryota; Metazoa; Chordata; Mammalia; Artiodactyla; Cervidae
Source: RefSeq, a predicted model, not a curated record
CCUGAUGGGGAUUGGUGCAGAGAAGCCACAUAACCAGUAGAAGGCAACUCCUACUUAGAUAACAGCAGGACCAUGAUGUCUUACAGGAGGCCUGGUAAACCAGCCUUUUAAAAUUCAGGCCUCUGCCACAGAUAAAGAGGGAACUGAAAAUCACCAUCAGGGCACCAUGUGUGACUGGUCCCCAGACAAAAUCUGUGUCUGACAUCUAAUCAGCAUGUCCUCUCUAUGACCCGCCCCCUACCCCACACAGGCUGACUCCCCGAUCUGUGAAUGUGGAACAGG